RNAcentral lists this unclassified non-coding RNA (1066 nucleotides) under Limulus polyphemus (Atlantic horseshoe crab). RNAcentral describes it as "uncharacterized LOC111086458, transcript variant X2". The record is from RNAcentral. Lineage: Eukaryota; Metazoa; Arthropoda; Merostomata; Xiphosura; Limulidae.
AUUGUCUGAAAGAAGCUAUGAACAGUUUCGAAAUGUAUUCCAUACUUUCACAAGUUUUGUGUGCGUUUGCAGGUGACCAGUGGUUAGUUAGAAAAUGGACGAAUACACAUCUACCAGUCUCCUAGAACCAUUAACAUUAAUCCUUACCCAGGGCGCUUUGUUGGAAAAGGCCGUGUACGUCAACCGCGUGACGGAAGAGACGUGGAACUAGAGUGUAACUUUGCUGGAUUAAAUGUUAAACUUGUGUCUAAUGUUGUUUGGGAGAAGAUUGAAGGACCUUACUUCUUUGUUGACGCUUCAUUCCCUUAUCAUUGCCCCAGCUGCUCCGUUCAUUAUGUCAACAACUACCGAUGCAGCGUGCUAAACUUCCGCGACGGAUCCUUUCUUCACAUCAGCGAUGUUUCACCUGAAGAUAUCGGUAUCUAUCGCUGUAGUGGCACCUCGCAACUGUCUCGUUCAGGACUUGCUGAGACUGUUUAUCAGAUUGUUGAAUGUUUUUAAGUGUAAACCAAAAAGCUGAAUGAGCUUUUUGCAUUGAUUCCAUGGGAAUGAAAGAGAACUUUAAAAUAAACGGAUAAAAUUUUAUUAAAAUAAAGCAAGUAAAAGAAAAUUGGUUACUCUCCAUCAGCAGUGGUUUUACGUGUGUGUGGAUAUAUAUAUAUAUAUACACACACACAGAGAUAUAUGUUAUGGUUAUGGAAUAUUCAUAUAUAUGGAAUGAAACAGAAUAGGUGACACUAUAGGGAAUACAGUUAUAAAGCCAGAGACCCAUAACUAAAAUAUCAUCGUAAUUUAAUUUAGUAACAUAACCGUUAACUAUAUGCAGGUAUCUUUUUAUGUUUUUUUUAUAAAAACUAUAGAAAAGCGCGGGAACAAAAGAAGCGUGUUCUAAUUAUUGGCGUAGUAAAUGAAAUAUUUUUUCCUCAGUCUGUAGUAGAUUUAGGCCAGUGGCAAUCAGUAUUUUGUUUUAACAAACUAGAGAUUCUAUUACUAUUACAAAGUUAAGCUAAAGCUAUUGAUUAAAAUUUAGACUCUUUAUUGGAUAUUUGUACUUUAGUAUUUUAGA